RNAcentral lists this ribosomal RNA (984 nucleotides) under Mycoplasmopsis bovis. RNAcentral's name for it is "bacterial SSU rRNA". It matches the Rfam family "Bacterial small subunit ribosomal RNA", at positions 30 to 1013 of the family's 1533-position model. The record is from RNAcentral. Lineage: Bacteria; Bacillati; Mycoplasmatota; Mycoplasmoidales; Metamycoplasmataceae.
UGAACGCUGGCUGUGUGCCUAAUACAUGCAUGUCGAGCGAUGAUAGCAAUAUCAUAGCGGCGAAUGGGUGAGUAAACACGUACUCAACGUACCUUUUAGAUUGGGAUAGCGGAUGGAAACAUCCCGAUAAUACCGAAUACUUAUUAUUUUUGCAUGAAAGUAAUAUAAAAGGAAGCGUUUGCUUCGCUAAAAGAUCGGAGUGCGCAACAUUAGCUAGUUGGUGAGGUAACGGCCCACCAAGGCGAUGAUGUUUAGCGGGGUUGAGAGAUUGAUCCGCCACACUGGGACUGAGAUACGGCCCAGACUCCUACGGGAGGCAGCAGUAGGGAAUAUUCCACAAUGGACGAAAGUCUGAUGGAGCGACACAGCGUGCAGGAUGAAGGCCCUAUGGGUUGUAAACUGCUGUGGUUAGGGAAGAAAAAGUAGCAUAGGAAAUGAUGCUACCUUGACGGUACCUGAUUAGAAAGCAACGGCUAACUAUGUGCCAGCAGCCGCGGUAAUACAUAGGUUGCAAGCGUUAUCCGAAAUUAUUGGGCGUAAAGCGUCUGUAGGUUGUUUGUUAAGUCUGGCGUUAAAUUUUGGGGCUCAACCCCAAAACGCGUUGGAUACUGGCAGACUAGAGUUAUGUAGAGGUUAGCGGAAUUCCUUGUGAAGCGGUGAAAUGCGUAGAUAUAAGGAAGAACAUCAAUAUGGCGAAGGCAGCUAACUGGGCAUACACUGACACUGAGAGACGAAAGCGUGGGGAGCAAACAGGAUUAGAUACCCUGGUAGUCCACGCCCUAAACGAUGAUCAUUAGUUGAUGGGGAACUCAUCGACGCAGCUAACGCAUUAAAUGAUCCGCCUGAGUAGUACGUUCGCAAGAAUAAAACUUAAAGGAAUUGACGGGGAUCCGCACAAGCGGUGGAGCAUGUGGUUUAAUUUGAUGUUACGCGUAGAACCUUACCCACUCUUGACAUCUUCUGCAAAGCUAUGGAGACAUAGUG